RNAcentral lists this long non-coding RNA (1017 nucleotides) under Homo sapiens (human). Its description in RNAcentral is "HSALNT0033268". The record is from RNAcentral. Lineage: Eukaryota; Metazoa; Chordata; Mammalia; Primates; Hominidae.
CCUCCAUCUAAGACGUGACUUGCUCUUCCUUGCCUUCCGCCAUGAUUGUGAGGCCUCCCCAGGCAAGUGAACUAUAAUCAUGAGUCAUCAUCCUGUAUAAAUGAAUAAUAGUUUAAUUUAAAUAAGCCAAUGUUGUUUGGAGGUCGUUUAUCACUUCACAGCUCUCAUUCACAGUCAAGUCAUGUGGAACUACACAACUUCCUUUUUGUGCAUUGGAGCUGGAAAUCUCGUUGAGUUUGGGAGGCCUUACUUCUGCAUAUUUGAAUCUGGUGACCAAAUUAAACAUUGUUCUAACUGUAGUGGUCUGAUCAUUCUACCAAGGCCAUGACUGUGAAGAGCACUGUGGGUGAUGGCUGGUGGCUCACCGGAGCCGGCUUGUGCACGGCGCCCGAAGCCAAAGAAAUCUGAAGACCCGACCUUACUAUUGGCAAAGACAGACAAACACUCUACAAAUAGUGCUUGAAAAAUGCCACUGUUUGGUUCAGAUGGUGAAGAGGAACUCAGGAAGGCCUGGCAGUCUCUAGGAGGCUAGGGCAGUGGUUCUCAAAUGAUAGGGUGUACAGAAAUUCCCUGGAGGACUUGUGACAACAAAGAUUGCUAGGCCUACUCCCAGGGUUUCUAAUUCAGCAGGUCUGGGGAUGGAGCUCAAGUAUCUGCAUUUCUAACAAGUCCCCGGUGGUGCUGAUGCUGCUUGCAUGGACCAGUUUUGAGAACCAUACUUGGAGAAACACUUGGUUAGGAAAACUAUGUCUGUUACAGAUUGAUCAAAGGGCUCUUAAGUUCCUUUUGUACAAUAAAUCACUGCGAUAUCAAAUGAGGUAAAUGAACAUGCUCUUUGAACUCUUAACUUCUAGACCAAUAUAAAACAUUCUAAAUAUGAAAUGGAAACAUUUACAAUUGUUAUUGAUUCUCAUCAAUGCAAUGUUCAAUAAAGAUAAGAAUCACGUUUUCAGUCUCCACUCUUGAUUUUCUGCUUUGAUAUGGAUUUUUAGUUUUGCUUUCUUCUGAUAUGCUGGG